Molecule: long non-coding RNA, 1242 nt
Organism: Populus trichocarpa (black cottonwood)
Lineage: Eukaryota; Viridiplantae; Streptophyta; Magnoliopsida; Malpighiales; Salicaceae
Exons: 2
Source: RefSeq, a predicted model, not a curated record
GGAAAGUGGUGGGGGACGAUCACCUUUUCCAAGGAAAGAAAAUCCAAGCAAAGUUACCUGUAAAACCCAGGCAGCUUUGGCUGUAUCUAUGGAGCUAUUUGCUACCUAAAAUCCGUUGCUGCCGCCUUCUCUACCACCUGUAUUUCCCCCUCUUCAUGGAUUUUCUUCUGUCUUCUGUCUCCUCCCUCUUGUUUUUCUUCUCCCUCCUUACCAACCCCUUUAAAUCCCCCACUUCCACGUACUAUUCUUUGCUUGCAAUCAAAGUUAGAGUGAUCGUUCUAUACAAAUCAAGAGAGAAAGAUGAGGUAGUGAGAAUUGUUCUCUCAAUUAUUUGCUCACCUCCCAGUCUUUCUGUCAUAUAUAUCAUCUCUUCAACUGUAAGUGUCUUAGUUUACACCUCCUGGUGUUUUAGCAAUGGCAUUUUCUCUGCUUGUUAAUUGCUCUUAAUCAAGUAAUCAUGAAUCGACCAAAUUUUCUUGAACACCAUGUCUUCUAACUCUAGUCUUUCAAAUUAAGGAGUCGCUUGAGAAAAGCAUCAUUUAUUCGUGUCACUAGUCAAUUGAAGCAUACGUCAUAGAGGUUAAUUAAGAUCACAUGGUGUCUAUGGCAAUGCAGGGCAUUUGUUAGAUUGUGUACUUUGUUUGCAGGUUGAGAGCACUUACUACUAUAGCAAGAGCUGCUUGGUCUGAAAGAAUGGCCUGCCUGGCUCCCUGAAUGCCAUCUAGGAAGCUUGUCAAAGAGUGUUGGCAACCUUUCUAUUUGGCAUGAGGGGAGUCGAGCAGGCCAAUUAACAACAGCUUACAGCUACCCUGUAUUGAACUCAUGAGGUACCAGCAAGUACAUUCCUAGCUAUAUAUACUAUAAUUUCCUCUGCAGCUGGUAGUGCUACCUAGUACUGAAAGAGCCUAACCUCUCAGGAGAUUGUUAUUGCGACUCCUGUGCGAUUCAUGAAUAAGUUUGGCAGUACUGUGCGUGGCUAUGAGAGAUGUGUGUCUGGGAAGAAGCCAUGUAUUGUUGUGGGCCCAUAACCAUUCAAAUAUCUACAACCAUUGAAAAGGAUCGAUGUAAACAAUCAAUCUUUGAACUCUUGUUUUUAACUGAUGAUUUGUAGCUCUCUUUAAUACAAGGGUCUGUUUCUGUAAUAUAUAUGGACGUCCUCUCUCCUUGUACGUAAUUCUUCGAUAGCCUCCUAAUUUACCCCAUCAAAGCUUCGAUCGAUAUAUGACAUGGCUUUUUAAAAGA